GGGGGAAUACUCAAGCGGCCAACGAGGCCAGACUGUAAAUCUGGCGGCCACGCCUUCGCAGGUUCGAAUCCUGCUUCCCCCACCA
RNAcentral lists this transfer RNA (85 nucleotides) under Gammaproteobacteria bacterium. Its description in RNAcentral is "tRNA-Tyr". It matches the Rfam family "tRNA". Rfam says of the family: Transfer RNA (tRNA) molecules are approximately 80 nucleotides in length. Their secondary structure includes four short double-helical elements and three loops (D, anti-codon, and T loops). Further hydrogen bonds mediate the characteristic L-shaped molecular structure. tRNAs have two regions of fundamental functional importance: the anti-codon, which is responsible for specific mRNA codon recognition, and the 3' end, to which the tRNAs corresponding amino acid is attached (by aminoacyl-tRNA synthetases). tRNAs cope with the degeneracy of the genetic code in two manners: having more than one tRNA (with a specific anti-codon) for a particular amino acid; and 'wobble' base-pairing, i.e. permitting non-standard base-pairing at the 3rd anti-codon position. RNAcentral also lists the same sequence under 2 other names. The record is from RNAcentral. Lineage: Bacteria; Pseudomonadati; Pseudomonadota; Gammaproteobacteria.